ACAGGGGGAUAACACUUAGAAAUAGGUGCUAAUACCGCAUAAGCGCACGGUUCCGCAUGGAACAGUGUGAAAAACUCCGGUGGUAUACGAUGGAUCCGCGUCUGAUUAGCCAGUUGGCGGGGUAACGGCCCACCAAAGCGACGAUCAGUAGCCGGCCUGAGAGGGUGAACGGCCACAUUGGGACUGAGACACGGCCCAAACUCCCACGGGAGGCAACAGUGGGGAAUAUUGCACAAUGGGGGAAACCCUGAUGCAGCGACGCCGCGUGAGUGAAGAAGUAUCUCGGUACGUAAAGCUCUAUCAGCAGGGAAGAAAAUGACGGUACCUGACUAAGAAGCCCCGGCUAACUACGUGCCAGCAGCCGCGGUAAUACGUAGGGGGCAAGCGUUAUCCGGAUUUACUGGGUGUAAAGGGAGCGUAGACGGCAGCGCAAGUCUGGAGUGAAAUGCCGGGGCCCAACCCCGGAACUGCUUUGGAAACUGUGCAGCUCGAGUGCAGGAGAGGUAAGCGGAAUUCCUAGUGUAGCGGUGAAAUGCGUAGAUAUUAGGAGGAACACCAGUGGCGAAGGCGGCUUACUGGACUGUAACUGACGUUGAGGCUCGAAAGCGUGGGGAGCAAACAGGAUUAGAUACCCUGGUAGUCCACGCCGUAAACGAUGAUUAAUAGGUGUCGGGGGGCCAAGGCCCUCCGGUGCCGCCGCAA
This 702-nucleotide ribosomal RNA is filed under the name uncultured bacterium. RNAcentral's name for it is "bacterial SSU rRNA". It matches the Rfam family "Bacterial small subunit ribosomal RNA", at positions 135 to 854 of the family's 1533-position model. The record is from RNAcentral.